UACUGGGCGUAAAGCGGGCGCAGACGGUUACUUAAGCAGGAUGUGAAAUCCCUGGGCUCAACCUGGGAACUGCGUUNUGAACUGGGUGACUAGAGUGUGUCAGAGGGAGGUAGAAUUNCACGUGUAGCAGUGAAAUGCGUAGAGAUGUGGAGGAAUACCGAUGGCGAAGNCAGCCUCCUGGGAUAACACUGACGUUCAUGCCCGAAAGCGUGGGUAGCAAACAGGAUUAGAUACCCUGGUAGUCCACGCCCUAAACGAUGUCGAUUAGCUGUUGGGCAGCAUGACUGCUUAGUAGCGAAGCUAACGCGUGAAAUCGACCGCCUGGGGAGUACGGUCGCAAGAUUAAAACUCAAAGGAAUUGACGGGGACCCGCACAAGCGGUGGAUGAUGUGGAUUAAUUCGAUGCAACGCGAAGAACCUUACCUGGUCUUGACAUGUACGGAACCCUCCAGAGACGGAGGGGUGCCUUCGGGAGCCGUAACACAGGUGCUGCAUGGCUGUCGUCAGCUCGUGUCGUGAGAUGUUGGGUNANNNNNNNNCAACGAGCGCAACCCUUGUCAUUAGUUGCCAUCAUUAAGUUGGGCACUCUAAUGAGACUGCCGGUGACAAGCCGGAGGAAGGUGGGGAUGACGUCAAGUCCUCAUGGCCCUUAUGACCAGGGCUUCACACGUCAUACAAUGGUCGGUACAGAGGGUAGCCAAGCCGCGAGGCGGAGCCAAUCUCACAAAACCGAUCGUAGUCCGGAUUGCACUCUGCAACUCGAGUGCAUGAAGUCGGAAUCGCUAGUAAUCGCAGGUCAGCAUACUGCGGUGAAUACGUUCCCGGGUCU
This 829-nucleotide ribosomal RNA is filed under the name uncultured bacterium. Its description in RNAcentral is "bacterial SSU rRNA". It matches the Rfam family "Bacterial small subunit ribosomal RNA", at positions 552 to 1381 of the family's 1533-position model. The record is from RNAcentral.